UACGUAGGGGGCAAGCGUUGUCCGGACUUACUGGGCGUAAAGCGUGCGCAGGCGGUUGUUCAAGACAGAUGUGAAAUCCCCGGGCUUAACCUGGGAACUGCAUUUGUGACUGCACAGCUGGAGUGCGGCAGAGGGGGAUGGAAUUCCGCGUGUAGCAGUGAAAUGCGUAGAUAUGCGGAGGAACACCGAUGGCGAAGGCAAUCCCCUGGGCCUGCACUGACGCUCAUGCACGAAAGCGUGGGGAGCAAACAGG
This 253-nucleotide ribosomal RNA is filed under the name uncultured bacterium. RNAcentral's name for it is "partial 16S ribosomal RNA". It matches the Rfam family "Bacterial small subunit ribosomal RNA", at positions 524 to 776 of the family's 1533-position model. The record is from RNAcentral.